Atta colombica is the source of this 73-nucleotide transfer RNA. It matches the Rfam family "tRNA". From Rfam's summary of the family: Transfer RNA (tRNA) molecules are approximately 80 nucleotides in length. NCBI's taxonomy places the organism in Eukaryota, Metazoa, Arthropoda, Insecta, Hymenoptera, Formicidae. The record is from Rfam.
GCCUCGGUGGUCUAAUGGUUUAGAACAUUCGUACGGAAUACAAAAGAUCCGGGUUCAAGUCUCGAUCGAGGUA